UGGGUUAGUGGCGGACGGGUGGGUAACGCGUGGGUAACCUGCCUUACACAGGGGGAUAACACUUAGAAAUAGGUGCUAAAACCGCAUAAGCGCACAGCUUCGCAUGAAGCGGUGUGAAAAACUCCGGUGGUGUAAGAUGGACCCGCGUCUGAUUAGCUUGUUGGCGGGGUAACGGCCCACCAAGGCGACGAUCAGUAGCCGGCCUGAGAGGGCGGACGGCCACAUUGGGACUGAGACACGGCCCAGACUCCUACGGGAGGCAGCAG
Molecule: ribosomal RNA, 266 nt
Filed under: uncultured bacterium
Lineage: Bacteria
Description: partial 16S ribosomal RNA
Rfam family: Bacterial small subunit ribosomal RNA
Source: RNAcentral